This 497-nucleotide ribosomal RNA is filed under the name uncultured bacterium. RNAcentral describes it as "partial 16S ribosomal RNA". It matches the Rfam family "Bacterial small subunit ribosomal RNA", at positions 28 to 507 of the family's 1533-position model. The record is from RNAcentral.
GAUGAACGCUGGCGGCGUGCCUAAUACAUGCAAGUCGAGCGAACAGACGAGGAGCUUGCUCCUCUGACGUUAGCGGCGGACGGGUGAGUAACACGUGGAUAACCUACCUAUAAGACUGGGAUAACUUCGGGAAACCGGAGCUAAUACCGGAUAAUAUAUUGAACCGCAUGGUUCAAUAGUGAAAGACGGUUUUGCUGUCACUUAUAGAUGGAUCCGCGCCGCAUUAGCUAGUUGGUAAGGUAACGGCUUACCAAGGCGACGAUGCGUAGCCGACCUGAGAGGGUGAUCGGCCACACUGGAACUGAGACACGGUCCAGACUCCUACGGGAGGCAGCAGUAGGGAAUCUUCCGCAAUGGGCGAAAGCCUGACGGAGGAACGCCGCGUGAGUGAUGAAGGUCUUCGGAUCGUAAAACUCUGUUAUUAGGGAAGAACAAAUGUGUAAGUAACUAUGCACGUCUUGACGGUACCUAAUCAGAAAGCCACGGCUAACUACGUG